GAUGAACGCUGGCGGCGUGCCUAAUACAUGCAAGUCGAGCGAACGGACGAGAAGCUUGCUUCUCUGAUGUUGCCGCGGACGGGGGAGUAACAAGUUGAUAACCUAACUUAAAGACCGGGGUUACCUUGGGAAACCCGAACCAAUUCCCGAAAAAUUUUUUAACCCCAUGGUUUAAAAAUUUAAAACCGUCCUGCCUUUCCUUUAUAAAGGGACCGCGCUGCAUUAGCUAGUUGGUAAGGUAACGGCUUACCAAGGCAACGAUGCAUAGCCGACCUGAGAGGGUGAUCGGCCACACUGGAACUGAGACACGGUCCAGACUCCUACGGGAGGCAGCAGUAGGGAAUCUUCCGCAAUGGGCGAAAGCCUGACGGAGCAACGCCGCGUGAGUGAUGAAGGUCUUCGGAUCGUAAAACUCUGUUAUUAGGGAAGAACAUAUGUGUAAGUAACUGUGCACAUCUUGACGGUACCUAAUCAGAAAGCCACGGCUAACUACGUG
Molecule: ribosomal RNA, 496 nt
Filed under: uncultured bacterium
Lineage: Bacteria
Description: partial 16S ribosomal RNA
Rfam family: Bacterial small subunit ribosomal RNA
Source: RNAcentral